GUGAUGUCGUGAACACGUAUUUUGUUCGUGAGUCUAUCUGCCUAGUUAUCGCGUUUCUUGAGAUGUUAAUAUGAUAGUGACAUGGACUACAAUGAAUGUCAGCCAGUGUGACAUACAGUUAUUGUAUUGUCGCUCAGAGAAUCGGAUAUUAAGUUACUUUGCUAACAUUGGUGGCUGCCGUCGGGUACCGUCCGCUUGCUAAUAGGUCGAAUUGUGCUCACCGUUCUAUGGAGUUUUUUACAACCACACACUACUUGAUUUCGAUAGUAAUGUGAUCAUCACUCAAUCAUGUAUUUGGUUUUUCUUCCGGCAGAAAAAUGUAUGUAUGUAAACGAAACAACUUAGCACCACCUAAUAUGUUUAUUGUUUAUUGUUCAAAAAAAUUAAAUAACUAUAUAAUUAA
This is a long non-coding RNA of Dalotia coriaria, 403 nucleotides long. RefSeq lists it as uncharacterized. Lineage: Eukaryota; Metazoa; Arthropoda; Insecta; Coleoptera; Staphylinidae. The record is from RefSeq and is a predicted model, not a curated record. The transcript is spliced from 2 exons.